Molecule: ribosomal RNA, 576 nt
Filed under: Triticum aestivum (bread wheat)
Lineage: Eukaryota; Viridiplantae; Streptophyta; Magnoliopsida; Poales; Poaceae
Description: partial small subunit ribosomal RNA
Source: RNAcentral
AUGAACAUUGCCCUCCUAACGAGAUGGUUGUGGCGGAUUGCCAACGGACAGGGUGCCCUGUGGCUUCACCUCAUUCAGCAGAAAUACCUCCGUGGCCAGCCUCUCACCUUCUGCCAGUGGUCUGGAGGUUCCUAUUUCUGGCAAUCCAUCAUACAGCUCCUACCGAUCCUCCGCAUCGGCACCUUGAUCGCGGUUGGAUCGGGCACCUCCACGAUGUUCUGGUUCCAUAGAUGGGCUGGAGACUUACCCCUCGCGGCACGUUUUCCCUACCUAUUCUCCAUCGCGGUUGACCCGCGGAUCUCUGUCGCGACGACCCUUAUUGACUUAGGGCAACUCGCGUUCCGGAGAGCAUUUGGCCUGCCUGAGAACGCGGACUGGCAUGAGCUGCUGGAAUGCAUCGGGCUGCACGAGCCUGAUCUUGAGGUAGGAGAAGACCGUGCCAGGUGGCGUCUAGAGCCAUCUGAGCAAUUCUCCACUAAAUCUCUAUACCAGGCCAUCACACCUUCGCUGGGUCAUGAGGUAGUCACCACCAUCUGGGAUAUACAGCUCCCCUUGAAGAUUAGGAUUUUCUUGUGA